GGAAGGUGUUGUUUUGUGGGUUUUUUUUUUUUUUCUUUCUUUUUCUUCCCCCUGGUGAUCCUUCCUCUGUGGAGUUUUUUCUGCAAACCUGGAUCUUCAGGUUCAGGAAAGGCCAUGGAAAGGGCCAUCGCAGAUCCAAGGUUGCAGAGAUUUUGUGUGUGUUGCUGCUGGACACCUGAAGGAAAUGGCAGAGGGAAAGGACUUUUCCAGGGGAUUAGUUGCUCUGUGUCCCAGCUGAAGGAAAAGAGGGAAGGAAGUCACCGCACACUCCUGUUGCUUGGGGAGACACUUGGCCAGUCCAUCACCUCUGGAUUUCCACUGACCUCUUCUCCAGAAGGCGUAAAAAUAACAAUAUUGUUCUUUUGAGGGAGAAAUACGAUAGAAGACUGAAAUAACCUUGUGGCACUUAACUGAAUAUUGCCCUGAUAGAAGCUAUGUGCUGGAUGGGACAAAUUUCUAGAGACGAGGCAAAGAAGAGAAACAAAUACUGAGAAGUAAAGGCUCACACUCCUGACUGCUAAGUUCAGCAGCCUUCUUUAAACAUGCUCAACUCUCUCUGUGGGUCACAUAAAGAAGAGAUAGUAAUCCCAAUGAAACAGGAGUUGUGCCCUGACUACAAUGUUAUCAGUUUAAUCUGAUCAAUGCAUGCAGACUUUUACAAAGGAAAAAAUCAGAAGUAAAAUUCAAAAUGUAAAGAUGGACACAAUUUCUGUUCAUAUUUCCAUAAUAAACAGAAAAUAAAGGAAUCUAAUUGUGGCUUAUGUAGUCCAGUCAACUGAGAAAAUUUUAUUUAGCAUUCUUCAUGUUUAUACCAUAGAUUUAAGAUGAAAUGCCACUUGCUCUGCUGUGUUUAAGCAUCCUAUAACUAGACUUGGUUUUUGAAAAAGGACAUGCCUUCCAUUGCCUGUAAAAAGCAUUGCUUCUUCUGAAGGACAGAUGGAGGAAACCUAAAUAGCGGAUAAGUGCCAGAGGUUCCAACAUCUGCAGUUAGUGGAAGCCCAGGACAGUGCAUUUUAAGCCAUGCAUUUUAAAUGAAAUUGUGAUUGGAAUGAGAUACAUGUUGGCAGGAGCUCGUUCCCAAGAAAGAAGAAUCCUACAGUGGUAAGAAAAAAAAAUGUUUGCAGUGGUUCUCUUUGGCUUCAGAUUUGGAGAAAUAUCUAAAACAUGCCAGUCAAUUUCUGUUGUCAUAUGGCAAGAAAAUGUGCACUUGAAUGAAAAUGGCCUACAUCCAGGUGGGCCCCAGUAGGCAGUGAUUUAUAGUCUGCAUUGUACCUGCAUGUGAGCUGGAUAUUUUAGUAGAAGAAGUCGAGUCAUGCCUUUGAAGGCAGGAUUUCCCAGGCACCCAGGAAACUGGUUUUGCUGGUUUCUGGGGGCUCUCACCUCCUUCCUCCACCACACCCAUUCCAGGCUCUGUGCAUCUCUGAAACGCAAACAGCAGGUGAGAUUUUAUCUGCUGAAAUGUUUUCAAAACCACUGGAUUUUGCUCUUUCAAGUUGCUGGUCUCUAUUUUACCAGGAGGAAGAAUUAUUUGGAUAACUGUGUCUGUGUGCAAAAAUGUUCACAUCCUCAGAAUGAUCUCACCCUUUUUAGCUUAUGAUUUUUCCUCUGAAAAUAUGGGUAAUAAUAUUCAUCUCCAAUUUAAAAAGGCAGCAUUGAAUCAGGAGAAGAAGCAGUGCAUUGCUGAAGGAUUUGGUCACAGCCUGCCAAAUUCUGUUACAAGUUCACUCAAAAUCCAUUUUCAUACAGGCUGCUCUCCUGAUCAGUCUUCCUGAUUCAUUGUAUGGACUGUCACUGCUCAUCAACUGCAAAAAUAUCCUGAGUAAAAUUCAAUAUGAUCGGUCAGGCAUGUCCAACCCGCAGCCUGUGGCCACAUGCAGCCGGGCACAGCUUGCAGUGCUGCUUGCUUUUCUGACCCCGCGUUGUUGUGGUAGUGGCUCUCCACUGCCAAGUGGCCCAAUGCCACUUCAGAACACAGGGAAGGCAUAGUACAGUGCAGACUCUUCUGACACUUGUAGAACUCGCUCAGAUGCAUUGAAACCUGCAUGUAUUACACAUGGCAUGUACUCGUGAGGUUCAUUGAGUAAAAUGCAGUGAUUGAGGAUAUUAAUAUUUCAACUUGCCUAAUGGCAUCGCAAAUGAGAAAAGAACAACAACAAAAAAAAUCAUGGAUGAAGGAAAAGAGUGUUCAAGGAAAAAUGGACAGAUAAGUACUUCUUUAUCAAGACAAAUAAUAUGCACAGUGCUUAAUUUGCAAGGAAAUCAUGUCAGGUUUCAAAGAUUACAGUUUGGAAUGAUAUUAUACGCAAAAACAUGCUGCGAAAUUCAGUGCAUGUCAAGGAAUGCUUAGUAAAAACAGCAGAACUGAAAAAAAGUCUGUCAUCUCAACAAAAUCUUUUCCAGAAAGUUAGAACUCAGACUCUGUUGUAGAAGUUGCUACAUGGUAGCAAAUUUGAUUACAAAAUAUCAAAAUUGUUUACCAAUGAUUUCAUUAAGCAAUGUAUGGAAAUGUGGCAGACAUAAUGUGUCCUAUUUUAAAAAAAUUGUUUUUUUUUACAAUCAGUUUGUCUCUCCAGACUGUAGCCAGGUGAAUUGAUGAAGGAAGAAUAUCUAUUGAAAGACAUUUGGAGAGUGAAGCUGCCAAUUUCACAUUUUUUGCUCUGGUGAUAGAUGAAGGUACAGAUGCUACAGAUACGGCUCAACUUGACAUUUCCAUUAGAGGUAUUGAUAAUGAAUAUAAUGACACUGAAGAAAUUGCUUUUUUGGUGCAAUUAAAAGACAAAAUAGAUUUUUAUGAAGUGAUAAAAAAAAUACAUUAAAGGAAUUUUCUUCCACCUUUGUCAACAUAUGUGGUAUAGUUACUGGUGGCACCCCCCGUGAUGGUUGAUAAAAAAGAGGGACUUACAAAAUUAACAGAAGACAGUGCAAUUAUCACUGACAACUCAUGUUUGAUUAAACAUCACUGCAUCAUACAUCAAGAAAAUUUAUGUGUAGAAGCAUUAAAUAUGGAUAAUGUCGUGCAAAUAUUCAUCAAAGCUGUGAAUUUCAUAAAAUGCAAUGGAUUGAAUCAUCACCACUUCCAAGAGUUCCUUAGAAAUAUGGAUGUUAAUUAUGGGAACAUCAUUAACUUUUCUGAAGGAAAAGUGGCUAAGUCAGGGUAAAAUGCUGAAGACUUCAUUAUAUACAAAGUGAAAUCAAAUCAUGUAUGGAAUGAAAAGGAAAAUUUGUGCCAGAACAUGAAGUUUAGAAAUGGCUCACACAUACAGCAUUUUUCGUAGACUUGACCGCUGAUUGCAUGAGUUAAAUAAGUGCCUUCAUGGUGAAAAUCAACUUAUCUGUGCUGUGUUUCAAACUAUAACAGCAUUUGGAAUGAAACCUAAAUUACAGCAAGCUCAAGUUAUGGCAAAUAAUUUCAUACAUUUUGAUGCUUUGGCUAAACACAGUCCUGCGAACAGCAAAAAAUACACUGCCAUGUUUUCUAUUUUGAUAAAGGAAUUUGAGAAUAAGUUUUAAGAUUUCAAAAAUAUAACUUUCAGUCGACUUAAAUAAAUUACAUGUGAAUUUUCAAAUGGAAUGUAUUCAGUUGCAAUCAGAUGUGCAACUCAAAAAAUUGGUCGUGUCUCCUUAUUAGACUUUCAUAAGACCACUCUUAACAGAGAAAAAUAUCCCUCGCUUCACAGCCAUGCCUUAUUCUUGUAAUCACUUUUUGGCAGUACGUAUAUUUGUGAGCAAUUAUUGUCAAAGGUGAAGCCCAGGAAGAGUAACAUUUCAUUAAAAAAUCUCUGACAACCAUCUUGACAACUCACUAAGAACUUUAGCUACUUGAACUGAACCAGACAUUGAUACAUUAGUAUCCCAAAAGCAGAGUGAAAUAUCCCACUACUUUUCUGUUUUUGUUACUCUGAUUUUUGUUUUAAUCAAAAAUACAUGAAAUACAUGUCUCUUAUGUAAUUAGGCUAUAUAAUAUAUCUUAUACAUGGUCCAAGACAAGUCCUGUUUGCUCAGUGCAGCCCAGGCAGGCCAAAAAGUUGGACAUGCAUAUGAUAGGCUAUAAACUGCUUUAAGAUUAUUUACUAUAUCAUCAAGCAGUAACUGAUAAAAUCUGUGCGUUUCUUAAACUGUUGGGAAACGCUGAAUUACAAUAAAGACAACAUCAGGACAGUGACAUGAAUUAUUUGAUACACCAGCUAUAAGCACAAAAAACAGACGUCUUAAAGGACAUAGUGCAUCCUCACAGAAGGUGGGGCAAUGGCAUGAGAAGUAACGAGUCUGAAAAAAUUAAGUGUUGUGUGGAAUAAUGAACUGUACAGAUCUCCACACUACGAUGCAGUAGCUGAAAUGAAACAAGAAGUAACGUAAGUUUAUCUUACCAGUGGAAUUGGCCCUGACGUGAUCACUGGAAGAAUGUUGUCUCCCAGCAUGUUGGCCAUUCAAAAUAUGCUCUUGAGAAAGUUCUUAAACAGCUGCUUUGGAACAGAUGCAGAAUGGUUAAAGAAGGAUCGAUGCAAAGAGCCCACUGAUGUAGAGAUAUAGGAGUGAUUUGAUUGCUGUCUGUGAAGAACAUACAGCAGAAGUUAGCUCUGAUACCUAAUAAGCAAAAUAUAAAAUGAUCUGAUGCUGGAAGUCACAGCUAGAAAUAAAAUGUGAAUGUCUUGGGAUAAGAAAAAUCAACUAAGCAAGAAGUGUAAGGGAUGUAUCACUGGAAAUCUUCAAAGCAAGAUCACUCUUGGAUUUGAAGUAGGAAUUAAUUGUAACACUUGUAGCCUUUUGUGGUACAGGGAAUCAUUAGUGCAAUAUUUUGUGAUACAGUACUUCCUUGUGUGCUUAAAAUCUGUGUUUGUAAAUGGAUCUACUUACAACAUGAUAAGCAUCUUAAUUAGCCUGAUAAAUACAGUAACAAUUAUUCACUGAAGUAAAAAAGUAAGAAGUCUCUUUUUUCACAUUUACCAUUAACCCUCCGUGAGCUUUAGCAUAUUGUUUGAAUAUUGUUUGAACACAUUUAAAAAAAUCAUAUUAGUAAACUUUCACAUUUUUCAUCAAUCUCUGUGAAUAUUAUUGCAAUUAAGAGAAUUUAUAUGAGGAAAGAUUCCUAUGUAAGACUUCUGUGUCUUGCAGUGAAAUACUACCCCAUAAAUGCACUUACAUAAUAUACCAGUGACACUAACCUGUGUUUACUCAAGACUUAAAUGAUUAAGGAAUAGCUUAGAGAACAAGGUUAUGGUCACAAUAUGAGAAGCCAAACAGAACAUAAAUUCAACCUGAAUUUGUUCCAUAGAGAUGAUGGAGAAGACUAUAUCGUAAAGGAAAUCUAUGGCAAGGUCUGAUUAAUAUUUUUGAUGAAGGGUUUUGUUGAAAAAUGAGACUUCGCUGAAAUGAGAUUCUCUGUAAGAUCUUUUAUAUUUGUUAUGAACAUGGCACGUAGGCAGGCAGCUCUUGCAAAAGCUGGAGAUUUGGCAACCUUGGAAACCUUGAUUGCAGUUUAUUAUAUCUAUGAAAGAAGCCAGAAAUUUGAUAAAAGAUGUCUCUUUUCAGCCAACUACAAAUCCAUGCCUUAUCGGCAGAAUAAAUACGCUAAUGUCAAGAUAUUUUCUAUCUCCCUUUCUUUUUGCAUUCUAACCAAUGCAAAAAAGGAGAAGAAAAAUCACUCAGAUAACUCUGACAAGUCUUUUGGUUUGAAUGCAACACUGUAUAAAGUCUUGGAAAAUGUUGGAAGGUAAAAGACCUGAAGCAAAAUGAAAAAUGAGAUAAUUUGGGUUUUAUCAAAUGUAGUGUCAGACUAAAAUCUUUUUGCAUUAGAUAUUUGGCCUUUUAGACAGGGACAAUGCAAUAGGCUGAAUUUUCACAUGUGAGAGCAGCACUUGUAGGGUGAUUUCAAAUUAUUACUGAAGUACAAAUGAUGUGGGUGACCACAAGAACUGAUUAGGCUGGUAAGGCACUGACUGGCAUGAGACUGCAAUGUAUUAAAGGAGAAGUUCUCAAAUCCUGUUCUCCAAGAAGCAAACAUGAUGGGUAUGCAAAUGUUGCAUUGUACAAAGCACUGCGAGCUUCUUCAUAGUGUUGGUCUUCACGUGCAUUCCUGAAGAGAAAAUGGAAAAUGGAA
Long non-coding RNA from Lagopus muta (rock ptarmigan), 6097 nucleotides. RefSeq lists it as uncharacterized. The record is from RefSeq and is a predicted model, not a curated record. The transcript has 3 exons. Lineage: Eukaryota; Metazoa; Chordata; Aves; Galliformes; Phasianidae.